Long non-coding RNA from Penaeus monodon (black tiger shrimp), 443 nucleotides. RefSeq lists it as uncharacterized. NCBI's taxonomy places the organism in Eukaryota, Metazoa, Arthropoda, Malacostraca, Decapoda, Penaeidae. The transcript has 5 exons. The record is from RefSeq and is a predicted model, not a curated record.
UCACUGGUGAUGCAUUAGGCCGGAUGUCAAAGUACACCCUCCCCCCCCUCUACACUCGCCAGGUGUAAGAAAGGAUAAAGAUAGAGAGACACAGUAAUGCAGGGCAGUUCUAUCUCUGAGGGCGACCUGUCAACGUACGUAAGAUGAAUUUCCGCCUCGUUAUUGUGACGAUGAUCUUGGCAGCGAUGAUGACGAAUCUGGUUGUGGCAACACCGCUCUUUGGGUUCCGCACCAGGGAGGAUGGGCGCUGGUCCAGGAGACGCGGUCCCUGGCGGCCCCAUCACGAUGAUCGCUACUGGAAUGACUUCGACAUCUACGGCUACACAAGGAAUGGAUAAUGCUCGGAUAAUGCAGAACAAGGUCACGUCAGGCCACACAGCUUGAUUUAAGAUCAGGCGGUCCGACAUCUGUAUCCCAACAGUAUGAGUAAAUUGAUAAAAAAA